AAACCGACCGUCCCUAGCUCAAGUGGCGAAAAAAGUUGGUGCUUGGUACCCAGGGUGCCAAGUUCGAAUCUUCGAGUCUUAAUUGAUUUACAUUUUCAGCUAAAUUUAAUUCUAAAUAAAAUAAUGAAGCGGCCGGGUAGCAUGCUAUUUAUCUUUAAAAAAUAAUAAUAAUAUUUGGUGCAACAUCAACUAAACCUAAGUUGGCUAAGAUCGAUGAGAACUCUUAGCUUCAUUUGGUUCGGGUAUAAGCAAGAACUGAUUAUACCGGGGAUAGGCACAAGUAUGGGUUUUCGUAGGAACAAGAAUAUUUUUUUGUUUGGAUGAAAAUGUGAGUAUAAGCUGGAACUAGAAAAAUUGUAUUUGGAUGAAAAUAUGAGUAUAAGAUGGAAUAGUUGGUAAUUAUAAAUAGAAAAUAAUGAAAUUAAAUUUUUAUUUUCAAAAUUUUAAUUUUAAAUAUCAAAAUUUAAAUUUAAGAUCAAAUUUAAAUUUGAAAGAUAUAAAAUAUCAAAUUUAAAAUUUAAAAACUAAAAAUUUAAAAUUUAAAAUUUUAAAUUUUAAAUAUAAUUUUAAAUUUAAAUUUUAAAAUUAUAAAUUUUAAAAAUUUAAAUUUAAAUUUAAAAUAAAAAUCUUUCUCUCUCCGGUGGGGAGUGGGAACAACUUGUUCCCACCCCUUGUUUCGUACUUGGGUGGAAACUAGUUAUUCCCACCCAACCUGGUACAAGGGUUGUACUAGGUUGGUGGGAACAACUAGCUCCCACCCCACCCUGAAGUGUUUGGGUACAAGAGGUAUCCAAGAGGGGGGAUAACCCCCCCCCCUGUACCCAAUUCAAACACUAACUUACGUUCGAUCCAACGCAAAACUCGAAGCUAUGGCCAAGUUUAAACUGUGAGAGUAGUUCAUAAAAUUUAAGCUAGCAAUAUAAUGAAAAAUAAUGCUUAGCUAUAUAUGUUGCAAGUACCAAAUAGGUGUUUAAAAAUCACUGAGUUUUCGCUAUAUUUUUGAGUAUUUAAUUAACAAUUGGCCUUUGACACUUCGAAUUGCAACUUCUAAGCAAGGUUAACUCAUAUGAGUCAUGAAUGUAUGACAACACUACAAACUCAAACUCGACCCAAGUUGAACUUAAGUUCGACUUGACCAUGCUAAGGAUACUAAUUUGUACUGACGUGAAGGGAGAGAGAGAGCGCCCACUACUGCGAGAAAGUUUACUAUGUCGCACUUACGCCACAUCACUAAUAACUAGUUAAUCAUAUUUCUCUGUUUGAGAGAAAAAAUAACAAUUAAAAUAUUUUUCUAAUAACAAUAAUGGGAUGAGUGAACCAAAAAAAAAAAUCUAAUUAAUUAAAAAUGCCGUAUCAGCAAUGUAAUUGCUAAAUUCUAGAUUUUUUUUUUUUCACAGGGAUGCUGUAAAAGCUGGGGGCUUGGGCGGUCUACAGAUGACGUGGAAAAUCGGGUCCACAUACAAAAGUUGACCUCUCCCCGACCAAACUGUGGGGCCCGCGGAGACUCGGCAUUAUCUUUCGGAAUCUUUAACGGAUAAUGUCGUUUACCGGUGGGCGGAACCGGAAAUUAGGAUCCGCUGGACACGUGGCGCCACGUGGAUCGUCUACUCCGCCGAAUCCACCAAAUUGGCGGGACCCACCCACUCGGACGGUNAGCAAGAACUGAUUAUACCGGGGAUAGGUACAAGUAUGGGUUUUCAUAGGAACAAGAGUAUUUUUUUUGUUUAGAUGAAAAUGUGAGUAUAAGCUGGAACUAGAAAAAUUAUAUUUGGAUAAAAAUAUGAGUAUAAGGUGGAAUAGUUGGUAGUUAUAAAUAGAAAAUAAUGAUAUUAAAUUUUUAUUUUCAAAAUUUUAAUUUUAAAUAUCAAAUUUUAAAUUUAAGAUCAAAUUUAAAUUUGAAAGAUAUGAAAUAUCAAAUUUAAAAAUUUAAAAUUUAAAAUUUAAAAUUUAAAAAUAUCAAAUUUAAAUAUAAUUUUAAAUUUAAAAUUUAAAAUUAUAAAUUUUUAAAUUUUAAAUUUAAAUUUAAAAUAA
This 2031-nucleotide long non-coding RNA is filed under the name Ananas comosus (pineapple). Its description in RNAcentral is "long non-coding RNA (ACOM_LNC027489)". The record is from RNAcentral. Lineage: Eukaryota; Viridiplantae; Streptophyta; Magnoliopsida; Poales; Bromeliaceae.